Molecule: long non-coding RNA, 1026 nt
Organism: Aegilops tauschii subsp. strangulata
Lineage: Eukaryota; Viridiplantae; Streptophyta; Magnoliopsida; Poales; Poaceae
Source: RefSeq, a predicted model, not a curated record
UAUAUAAGAGGGUACAAACCGACUUGGGUAGGGAUACAAAACUGACUUGGACUAGAAGUCGUAGACUACUCUAACACUGUUUCACCUCGCACGGCCACGCAAACGCCUAUUCACCUCCACCCAUUUCCCCUACUGCCUUAUCUGCUCGCCACCGAAUUCGAAGGAGAGGUGGCCGGCGUUGGGCAUGCGGGGACAAAGGCGAACGCCGUCCAGCAGUCAGAGCGAUGCGCGGGUGGCGCGCGAGUGCAGUGGUGAGGCUGCGGAAGGGCGGCGACCGACAACACCAGGCUGCGGCCCUGCGGAGGGGGGGCGUCCGGCGGGUACCAGGCUGCAGCCCUUGCGGGUGGGAGAGUGCGUCCAAUGCGUGCCGGUGUAGAAGCCUCGAUGUCAUCCUUUUCUAAUGGGCUCGCUAGAUGGAGGUCCGGUCACGGGAGCGACGCGGAUUGCGCACGGGCGCGGAGGCGAUGGCCAUGGCUUCUCUGUUUUGAUUCGUUGCCGCGUCGUGGAUGAGGCCAUCAAAGAACCAUUAAGGGAGGCGAAGGGCGAAGAGGAGCCUGCAACACAUGUGCUGGUAGUGGUGGAGGAAGCCCCAACAUCGGUGGCCAUCUGCUUUGUUUUUAUCGUCGCGUCGGCGGAUGAGGGUGUCGAGGUGCAACUUCGGGAGGCAGAGGUCGACGAGGAGCCGCUGAUGCAGGUGUUCUACUAGCAGAGGAGGCCUUCGCGCAACUCGUCUAGCCGCCGUAGCCCCACCAAUGCGUCUGCUCGCUGCCGCCACUGUCCCUCGACAAAUCUAGCAACCUACAUCGGCGCGAGGUUAUCUUCAAGGCCACCAGCUGGAUCCAUACGUGGUCAUUACUACGUAAGGAGGAGGAUCGGGCGCCUACGGUCUUUGGGUGCAACCGAUGAGAAAUGGUCCCUCAGGAUUUGUUUAGCCGAUUUGGCUGGCGGCCUACUAGGAGGAUUUGUGAUGCAUGAGACCCAUUUUCCUACGAUAUUCUAUUUUUUUUUUAAUUUGCCCUUAGGGCA